CCCACGACUCUCGGCAACGGAUAUYUCGGCUCUCGCAUCGAUGAARAAGGUAGCGAAAUGCGAUCCCUGGUGUGAAUUGCAGAAUCCCGCGAACCAUCGAGUCUUUGAACGCAAGUUGCGCCCGAGGCCACUCGGCCGAGGGCACCCCUGCCUGGGCGUCACGC
This 164-nucleotide ribosomal RNA is filed under the name Campeiostachys kamoji. RNAcentral's name for it is "Elymus kamoji 5.8S ribosomal RNA". It matches the Rfam family "5.8S ribosomal RNA". From Rfam's summary of the family: 5.8S ribosomal RNA (5.8S rRNA) is a component of the large subunit of the eukaryotic ribosome. It is transcribed by RNA polymerase I as part of the 45S precursor that also contains 18S and 28S rRNA. The record is from RNAcentral. Lineage: Eukaryota; Viridiplantae; Streptophyta; Magnoliopsida; Poales; Poaceae.